GCCGCGCCGAAAGGCCGCCCGCGCGCGCGAGCUGCGCCUUAUAUCCGCGGAGGGCGGCGCCUGCGCAGGGCCCGGCGCGGCGGCCCGGCCUUUGAAGUCCCGGCGGCUGCCGCUUUCAUCCUUUCUUUUUUCCCUUGCAGGCCCCUUUGUGUGACUAAAUUUGGCAAGAAUAUGGAUCCGAGCCAGUCUUUCCACGUGUGCUCCCAGCUCCCAGCUGAGAAGGCCAAGGGUUCUCUUCCGGGAGAACCAGUUUGGCUAUUAAGGGAACCUCUCAGCACAGUGCAGAGCAAGAGAAAAAGCAAGAUUUCAGAGAGAAUAGCUGUUUACCAUCAAAGCGAACUGGGUUCCACACAGACAUGGUAUAUUAUACACAGAAACGAAGUGUCACCUGGGUUUUACAUCAUUGUGAGCUCCCUCCUCCAGGGCACAGCUGAGUUUCUUGGGUGAGAGGAGGAAAAUCCCACACGGCCAUCUGUGCUACCCAUUGCAAGAAACCAAGGAUUUCAAGUCAUCUCUUGAAUCUUCCGUGUGACGGUUUCUCCCAUAACGGCUCCUUGAAGAUCAAAGGCCACCAGACAUUUUACCAUACAGCCAACUUUCAAUGAGAAAAUGGAGACUUGGAGGAGUAAUUUGCCCAAGAUCAUGCUGUGGGGCAGGGAUCUGAAUCCAGACAGUCUGACUCCAAAACCCAACUUCGUAACCACCAAAAUCAGCUUGGAGAAGCCAAGUCCACGUAGCCAAAUCGGGAUCAGGCCGUUUCCUCAGAACGGGGUCUGCCUCAACAAGAAGAGCAGGUCUCUCAUUUGUUGGGACAAACCUGGUUAUGGAACCAGGUUCUUUUGCCUGAUGUGCAGCAAACCAAAUGCUGAGAUGCUGAGGUUUACAGAAGAGAAAAGGUUUAUUCACAAGGCACCCAAGCGAGGCGAUGGGAGGACAAGUUUCAGAUCUGCUUCCUUGAAGAUUCUCUCUGGCUGGACAGGGGCAAUAGGACUGUGGACAGAAUAACACAUGUCAUGUCCAGGGUGAGUCACUUAAAAGCCAGAGUGCCUUCCCCUCUCCUUCUCUUUCCCACCCAGCAGCCCUCGAAGCCGUGUGUGGAUCAAACACGUUGCGAAGUGACAAGAGCCAGGAGUGCUGAGUUUCGAGGAGGACGUGAGUCCCUGCCAACCGACUUUGGAAUUGCUGUGAGUGAGACACAAGCUUUCACUGUGUGAAACCCUGUGACUUGGGGGUUCAUCUUUUACCACAGCAUUGUCUAGCCUGACCAGAUUCAUUUGCAUAAGAAAAUCUCCACUGCCUUCAGAAUAUAAAGUAUAUUUCUGUAAACGUUGCAGAAAGCUAGUAUCUUGAUAAGAUAUAGAAAUUCUUCCACUCUUUCCUCUUACUGCAGUUCUUUCACUCCUUCUCUACCUUAAUGGGUUGGAGUUUGUCAUCAAGUCAGUCAGUCAACCAGGAUGCAGAUGUGAGUUUCCUUGUGGAAACAGGUGCCAGCAAAUAUUGCGUACCCCACCCGGAAGUACUGUGCCAAGUUAAAUCUAACCGAGGUCUUUUAGGUCGUUUCUGCCCACAUGAACCCAGGGUCGCUGAGUAUUAUUCCUUCAGCCCCAUCCACGCGAAAAGCUUCUUGGGUGAAGACAUGGAAUGCAGUUCAGCCCCAGGAUAUAUUCCUGCAAGGAGGAGUGCCAUGUACGACAGAUCAGAGACGGUAGGUGACAUGAUUUUGCACUCACGCCUAUUCCCUGCCUGCUCCUGUCCCAUCCUGUUCUAAACACCAGCAUCGCCUUGAAAUUCCCUUAAGCAAACUGAGACGCCAUAAGAAUCUCUACUGGUAUUGAUCCCAAUGCUGCAUAGUUUCUCUCCUGAACACUUUUUACCCAUAUUUAUACACAGGUAUGCAUAUCGGUAUGCAUGUAUAUACAUAAAUGCUUCUUAUAAUGAGUUUCUUCAUCAUGAAAGAUGAAUUAAUCACUUCAUUGACCUUACUAUAUAAUUUGCUGCAACGUACAGGAUUUACCAGACAACACCUACCACCUUAUAACAUCAGGACUUGCCCUUUGAGUCUAUAUUAAAUGAAUGCUUUCUUUGCCUUUAAGCAGUCAUAAUAAAUCAUACUGCACAAUUAAAUAGCUAUCACUCUUUAAUUAAGGAGUCAUCUUCUCCACUUCACCUGAUCUUGCCCAGUUUCCAGCAUGACCUGGUGCUUAAAGCUCAAGGAGAAAGUAAUUCAUAUUAUAAAUGUAUAACAGGGAAGUUCCCUUGUGUCGCAGCAGGUUAAGGAUCCACUGUUGCCACAAUAGUGGCGCAGGUGGUUACUGCAGUGCAGUUUUGAUCCCUGGCCCACGAACUUUCAUGUGCCAUGGGUGCAGCCAAAAAUAAAUAAAUAAACGAAAACGUAUAACAGACCAUUCAUGAGCUAAUCCUUGAAGAUAUUUUUCUCCAAUCAAAAGUUAUUUAGGAAUUUCCCUGGAGUUCCCAUCGUGGCAUGGUGGAAAUGAAUCUGACUAGUAUCACUGAAGGUGUAGGUUCGAUCCCUGGCCUCACUCAGUGGGUUAAGGAUCCGGUGUUUCUGUAAGCUGUGGCAUAGGUUGCAGACAUGGCUCGGAUCUGGCAUUGCUAUGGCUGUGGGGGUAGGCUGGCAGCUACAGUUCCAAUUCAACCCCCAGCCUGGGAACCUCCAUAUGCCUUAGGUGCAGCCCUAAAAAAUAAAAAUAAAAAUAAAAAUUAAAAAAAAA
This 2732-nucleotide long non-coding RNA is filed under the name Sus scrofa (pig). RNAcentral's name for it is "lncRNA (ENSSSCG00040074515.1)". Lineage: Eukaryota; Metazoa; Chordata; Mammalia; Artiodactyla; Suidae. The record is from RNAcentral.